CCUACGGGAGGCAGCAGUGAGGAAUAUUGGACAAUGGGCGCAAGCCUGAUCCAGCCAUGCCGCGUGCAGGAAGACGGUCCUAUGGAUUGUAAACUGCUUUUAUACAGGAAGAAACACCUCUACGUGUAGAGACUUGACGGUACUGUAUGAAUAAGCAUCGGCUAACUCCGUGCCAGCAGCCGCGGUAAUACGGAGGAUGCAAGCGUUAUCCGGAAUCAUUGGGUUUAAAGGGUCCGUAGGCGGUUUAAUAAGUCAGUGGUGAAAGCCCAUCGCUCAACGAUGGAACGGCCAUUGAUACUGUUAAACUUGAAUUAUUAGGAAGUAACUAGAAUAUGUAGUGUAGCGGUGAAAUGCUUAGAGAUUACAUGGAAUACCAAUUGCGAAGGCAGGUUACUACUAAUAUAUUGACGCUGAUGGACGAAAGCGUGGGGAGCGAACAGGAUUAGAUACCCUGGUAGUCCACGCCGUAAACGAUGGAUACUAGCUGUUCGGAGCAAUCUGAGUGGCUAAGCGAAAAGUGAUAAGUAUCCCACCUGGGGAGUACGUUCGCAAGAAGAGAAGUACGAAGAAGUAGAGAGAGAGAGNGCGAGACGACGACGAGGGAGGAG
This 608-nucleotide ribosomal RNA is filed under the name uncultured bacterium. RNAcentral describes it as "bacterial SSU rRNA". It matches the Rfam family "Bacterial small subunit ribosomal RNA", at positions 338 to 946 of the family's 1533-position model. The record is from RNAcentral.